CGCGGGAUGACUGGAAAGGCGCCCUCCACUUACGGGGUGAGACGUGACAGAUUCCUUCCUCCAACUCUUCUCAGUUUCGCUCAACUGAACUGUGCACUAUAACGCCAUGAUCAAACAAGUUCGGGCCUUGAGCAGUAGAUCUUCAUCAGUCAUGUUAGCCUAAUAAAAGGUGAAAUCAUGACUUAACAUUUUCAAUCUUAGCAGACAUUGACCAGCUCAGAUAAAUCAGAUGAUGACACAAGAGUACAUGAUAUUUAUUAAUGAGGUUCAAUCCUAACCUAAUAGACACACACAUUUACGUCUUACUAAGCAAGAUUGGACUCCUUACCUGGCACAUCCCCGACACUCUGAAGAACAUGUUCAUCUUCAUCUUUGUCUUGAAUUUGAUUUAUCUUCAUCUGUCUUGAAUUUGAUUUAUCUGCUCCAUAAAGAGAUAAUCGAUAAUUCGAUAUUAUCACCAAAUAGACAAACUUGAAUUCAUCUGGUAUGAAAAUAACCUUUUUUACUUGCAGUCAUAUGAACAAGUUAAUACAUCCAACAAAUAUUGUGUGUUCUUGUGUCAUCAUCUAUUAUGUUUGAGUUGAUCAAGGUCUGAUGAUUAUAUAAAAAUGUUAGUUGUGAUUUUGCUUUCUUUGGCUAACUUUUAUAACAAGUUCCAUACUCCGAUGCAAUUGACAUAAUGGCAGAUCUGAAUACCCUUAUUUCACCUGUCAAUGCAAUAUCUGCGCUGCACUGGACUACUGGUAUAAGGGAUUCUACCCUGACAAAUUACUUUCUUGAAACAGACUACGCUGGCUGAUCUCGUAAAACAGUACUCUUUGUAACAUCAGUACUAUACAUAGCGGCCGCAGGUGAAAUUUGGAAGGUUUGCAAACGGUAGCCGAGUUGAUUGAAGCAGACUGAGAGGAGCCUGCAGGCUGCAGCUGUCCUGAGCAGAAACCAACUUGAUAGAGAGAACCAGAUAUAUCCAAGCAGACGAAGGGUAACAUUAUUAACAGGUAUUUUGUUCUUUCAACUAGUAGCACAAUACUACUACAUAUGUAUUACACUUUUACAACUGGAUAGUGAACUCAAGAAAAAGGAGCUACA
This 1089-nucleotide long non-coding RNA is filed under the name Oryza brachyantha (malo sina). RNAcentral describes it as "long non-coding RNA (OBRA_LNC001220)". The record is from RNAcentral. Lineage: Eukaryota; Viridiplantae; Streptophyta; Magnoliopsida; Poales; Poaceae.